UACGUAGGGUGCGAGCGUUAAUCGGAAUUACUGGGCGUAAAGUGUGCGCAGGCGGCCGAGCAAGUCGAGUGUGAAAGCCCCGAGCUUAACUUGGGAACUGCGCUCGAAACUACUUGGCUAGAGUGUGGCAGAGGGAGGUGGAAUUCCACGUGUAGCGGUGAAAUGCGUAGAUAUGCGGAGGAACACCGAUGGCGAAGGCAAUCUCCUGGGCCUGCACUGACGCUCAUGCACGAAAGCGUGGGGAGCAAACAGG
RNAcentral lists this ribosomal RNA (253 nucleotides) under uncultured bacterium. Its description in RNAcentral is "partial 16S ribosomal RNA". It matches the Rfam family "Bacterial small subunit ribosomal RNA", at positions 524 to 776 of the family's 1533-position model. The record is from RNAcentral.